GACGAACGCUGGCGGCGUGCUUAACACAUGCGAGUCGAACGGAAAGGCCCUGCUUUUGUGGGGUGCUCGAGUGGCGAACGGGUGAGUAACACGUGGGUAACCUGCCCUUGACUUUGGGAUAACUUCAGGAAACUGGGGCUAAUACCGGAUAGGAGCUCCUGCUGCAUGGUGGGGGUUGGAAAGUUUCGGCGGUUGGGGAUGGACUCGCGGCUUAUCAGCUUGUUGGUGGGGUAGUGGCUUACCAAGGCUUUGACGGGUAGCCGGCCUGAGAGGGUGACCGGCCACAUUGGGACUGAGAUACGGCCCAGACUCCUACGGGAGGCAGCAGUGGGGAAUAUUGCACAAUGGGCGGAAGCCUGAUGCAGCAACGCCGCGUGCGGGAUGACGGCCUUCGGGUUGUAAACCGCUUUCGCCUGUGACGAAGCGUGAGUGACGGUAAUGGGUAAAGAAGCACCGGCUAACUACGCG
Molecule: ribosomal RNA, 468 nt
Filed under: uncultured bacterium
Lineage: Bacteria
Description: partial 16S ribosomal RNA
Rfam family: Bacterial small subunit ribosomal RNA
Source: RNAcentral